UGAAAGGAGAAGGCGCCGUCGGUCGC
RNAcentral lists this non-coding RNA (26 nucleotides) under Homo sapiens (human). The record is from RNAcentral. Lineage: Eukaryota; Metazoa; Chordata; Mammalia; Primates; Hominidae.